CCUGAGAGGGUGACCGGCCACAUUGGGACUGAGACACGGCCCAAACUCCUACGGGAGGCAGCAGUGGGGAAUAUUGCACAAUGGGGGAAACCCUGAUGCAGCGACGCCGCGUGAGCGAAGAAGUAUUUCGGUAUGUAAAGCUCUAUCAGCAGGGAAGAAAUGACGGUACCUGACUAAGAAGCACCGGCAAAUACGUGCCAGCAGCCGCGGUAAUACGUAUGGUGCAAGCGUUAUCCGGAUUUACUGGGUGUAAAGGGAGCGCAGGCGGUACGGCAAGUCUGAUGUGAAAUCCCGGGGCUCAACCCCGGUACUGCAUUGGAAACUGUCGGACUAGAGUGUCGGAGGGGUAAGUGGAAUUC
RNAcentral lists this ribosomal RNA (359 nucleotides) under uncultured bacterium. Its description in RNAcentral is "bacterial SSU rRNA". It matches the Rfam family "Bacterial small subunit ribosomal RNA", at positions 291 to 669 of the family's 1533-position model. The record is from RNAcentral.